Molecule: ribosomal RNA, 1014 nt
Filed under: Enterococcus faecalis
Lineage: Bacteria; Bacillati; Bacillota; Bacilli; Lactobacillales; Enterococcaceae
Description: bacterial SSU rRNA
Rfam family: Bacterial small subunit ribosomal RNA
Source: RNAcentral
AGCCCAGAAAGACCCGGCGUAAGUUACGAUGCCAGCAAGACGCCGGUAUUAGUAGGGAGGGCAAGCGUUGUCCCAGAUUUAUUGAGGCGUAAAAGCGAGCGCAGGGCGGUUUCUUAAGUCUGAUGUGAAAGCCCCCCGGCUCAACCGGGAAGGGUCAUUGGAAACUGGGAGACUUGAGUGCAGAAGAGGAGAGGGAAAUUCCAUGUGUAGCGGUAAAAUGCGUAGAUAUAUGGGAGGAACACCAGUGGCGAAAGGCGGCUCUCUGGUCUGUAACUGACGAUGAGGCUCGAAAGCGUGGGGAGCAAACAGGAUUAGAUACCCUUGUAGUCCACGCCGUAAAAAAUAAAUCCUAAGAGUUGGAGGAAUUCCGCCCUUCACCCCUGCAGCAAUCGCAAUAAGCGCUCCUCAUGGGGAGUUCGUCCGCAAGGUUGAAACUCAAAGGAAUUGAAGGGGGCCCGCACAAGCGGUGGAACAUGUGGUUUAAUUAGAAGCAACGCGAAGAACCUUAGCAGGUCUUGACAUCCUUUGUCCACUCUAGAGAUAGAGCUUUCCCUUCGGGGACAAAGUGACAGGUGGUGCAUGGUUGUCGUCAGCUCGUGUCGUGAGAUGUUGGGUUAAGUCCCGCUACGAGCGCAACCCUUAUUGUUAGUUGCCAUCAUUUAGUUGGGCACUCUAGCGAGACUGCCGGUGACAAACCGGAGGAAGGUGGGGAUGACGUCAAAUCAUCAUGCCCCUUAUGACCUGGGCUACACACGUGCUACAAUGGGAAGUACAACGAGUCGUUAGACCGCGAGGUCAUGCAAAUUUGUUAAAGCUUCUUUCAGUUCGGAUUGCAGGCUGCAACUCGCCUGCAUGAAACCGGAAUCGCUAGUAACAGCGGAUCAGCACGCUGCGGUGAAUACGUUCCCUGUCCUAAUACACAACGCCCGUCACACCACGAGAUUCCGUAACGCCCGAAGUCGGAGGGGUAACCUCUUGGAGCCAGCGGCCUACCUCUAAUUUAAAAAGGAAUUU